RNAcentral lists this microRNA precursor (61 nucleotides) under Pristionchus pacificus. Its description in RNAcentral is "mir-8364 microRNA precursor family". It matches the Rfam family "mir-8364 microRNA precursor family". Lineage: Eukaryota; Metazoa; Nematoda; Chromadorea; Rhabditida; Neodiplogasteridae. The record is from Rfam by way of RNAcentral.
UCUGCAUUCUCCACACUCUCUCACCGACCAGAGAGACGAGAGAGUGUGUGAAAUGAGGAGA